UCUAUAAUGUGGUUGUUGAGGAGCUGCCGUCAAAUGUUGCUGAACUCCUGUAACUGAGAUUUUUUCUUCCUGAGUUGUUAGUGGCAAAAAAGGUAACUGGUUUCCAUUUGACAUUGAAUAGGUCCAGUGUUUUUAAGGUAAAGACGGUAUUUUGUUUAUUACCUUUUUUUUUAUAGUAAUUUAAAAACAGAUGAUUCUGAGUUUUAAUUUUGAUAACGCUCGUUAAACAUUAAAUGAUUGUACUUUGGUAAUUUUAUUUAUUUUAUUUCUAUGGACAACAUAAAUUAAUCUUGGUAUUGAACAAUAAUCUAGAGUUGUGGUCAUUUUCAUUGUAAAUUCUUAAUUUUUUAAAAAAAUCUAAUUGAAACAAGGCGGGAGCGUAUAAUAGCCGUGAGGAAUCCUUGUGAGACACUUGUCUGUUGAUGUGUUGUUGCAAUGUGAAUAAGUAUAAUUGAUAAUAUUUUAAUGAUAAUAUUUGAUAUUAGCUAGUUACAUUUGUAAUCUUAUUCAAUUUCAUGUUUUGAUAUACGUCAAAAUCGUAAUAGAGGGUUCUUUAGACAACAAAUUGAUCACUUCUUAUGUAGGGCUGAACAAAAAACGGGUAAAAUUAAAUAAUCGAACAUAACUAAAUUUUUUUAAUCGAAAUAUUUUGGUUAUUCGGUUAUUUUUUGUAAUUUGGUUAUAACCGUUUAAUAUUCAAUUUUCAGAUUGGGGUUUGAUUAUUGAUUUUGUGUUAUUAACCGCAUAUCUGAAUUAGAAUUAAAAAAAAUACUUAAAUUUGAACCAGAGUAGAAACCCAUCAAUGACACAUGAUAACAACUUGCAAACAGUAUACAAAGUGGUGUGGUUAGCUUUCAUACCUGAGAUUCAUUGCCAAGUUAUUAAUAAUAUAGACAAGCAUCACUACCGCAAGCAUUUAGAUAUACCCUGACAGCUUAAACCAACAUAAAUCACUUUCCUUAAUUUCGGUUAUUCGUUUAAUAACCGAAUCUAUCAACUCGGUUAACAGUUCAAAUAUUAAAAAUGUGUUCAAUUAUAACUGAAUUGCUCCCCUCUUACCCUCUUAUGUACUUAACACCUCCUUAAAAGGAAGUAUGUCUAAAGUAUACAAGUCGAUUAAUUUAAAUUUUAUAUUGAUUAAUUUAUUUUUUGUCAUUAUAUUUUAACCAAAAAGUAAAUAAAUAACUCAAAUUAAUUCCCUCUUCAUAAAUACGAGCCAAUUAAAAUAAUAAACAUACACAUAUUAAUAAGGACAUUUUCUUAUGCUCAUCUUUUAUUAUCUUAACCCGCGGUAGUGAUGAUUAUUAGGUUUAGAAUGAAAUUUAUUUGGUUAAUUGACCAAUAGAAUGCUGACACAUAUAUAAUCUUGCAUGUGCAAUUGACCAACUUAUCCAAAAAUAAACUCCAUGCUAACCACAACCCUAUAACAGAGAGACCCCAAAACUUUAAUGCCAUUUAUGAACACGAGGAUUUGGGUAUGGGAUGGUAGUAUAAUUUUUUGGUCGCAUAAACAAAAAUAGUCUUAUAUAUAAAAUUGAAAAAUAUAUUUUUAUUUCAUAUACGUUCCUAAAAUAAUAAAUUAUUAAUCUUAUACUAUAUAAUAUGAUAAUGACAUUAAGAUACCAAACGCCCGGGUGUUUAUAUUAUUACAAAAAAGUGGACUCUAUUCAUGGGCAGGAAAAAUAUCGCAUCUGUUCACAUAAUUGUUAGAAUUAAGAGUAUCUUGGAUGGGAAUGGGAGACUUGGAACAAACUAAACAAAGAGGGGGAUAGGGUGUUUGCUGAAUAUUGAAAGGUACUAGGAGGAAUAUGUUGGUUUAUAUGUUUUGUUUUAAGAUGAUAAUAUAUUUUAUAUGGAGAUAUUUUGUUCUUUCCAGGUUUGGACUUUGAUCUGAUCAUAUAUGUCUGCUAAAUGAGAACUGAAUUUCAAAAGUCUCAUCGUGGAUAAGACACUACUGGAUUAGGUCUCUAGAAAAUCACUUGCGUUCUAUUUCUAAGUUUUAAAAUAGACAGAAAAGAAAAAAAAUGGACGAAAAAUUUAAGUUUUAUUUUCAAUUCUUAUGUUUUUGAGUUUUUUAAUAAACAGAAAAGAAAAGAAAUUGAUAGAAAACUUGGCCACUUUUCCUGCCAAAGUUUUCCGUCCAAAAUUGGCCUGAUUUAGACGGAAAAGAAAUUAGAAUAAAUAAUAUUUUUAUAAUUCUCAUAUUAUCCUCAACUUUUAAUAUAAUAAAUUUUAAAUUACAACUCAUGUCCUCAAUUUUAAAUUUUCUAUUAUUUUCUAUUAAAAACUCAGAAACAACACAAAGGAAAACUUCAAGUUUUCUGUUCUUUUCUUUUCUGUUCUAAUUUAAGUUUUCUAUUCUUUUCUUUUCUGUCAAAACUCAGAAACAGAGUGUUAGGAAAUUCUGUAAGAAUUUCUAGCCUAAGUUUUUAAUUGCAAGACAAAUUUUAUUUUGCUGGAAAAAUCUUUUAAAAAGGUUAAUGGGCUUAAAAUUCUAUUAUGUUGAGAAUUUAUAUCAAAUUGACAUCUAAAUCAGUUGAACAUAUUUUCAGCUAUGAUUUCUAAAGAUUUAACAAAAUCAAUAUCUUUCCUAAAAAGUUGGCUUGACUAAUUUCCCCUGAUUAGAUUUUUCUGUGUCUCAAAUCAACUGAGAUCUUAUCUCUUAAUUUCAAGCUGUCUAUUUUCACAAAAUUCAAAAUCCUUCCUUAUCAUUUUGAAAUUGUCUUGAGGAAUCCUUGUGAGACACUUGUCUGUUGAUGUGAGCAACAACAGAAAAGUUUCUAGCAUAUUGUCCUUACAUUAUUUUUGAAUUCUUAUCGCUGGAAAUUCAUAGUUAUAUCUUGUAAUUAUAUUCGUUCUUGUUAAAACUUGUAUACAAGCCUAUACUGUUUUGUGUUUGAUCUCUUGAUGGAUAGGUCUGUACAAAGAAAACUCUAAGGUUGUAGUGGUACAAACAGUUGUAAUGAUGCAAGCAGUUGCAGUUGUGCAAAGGAGCAGUAGUGUCCAACAGUGUUCAUAGCUUAUUUAUACAGGGGGUCUUGUAAUUAAUUGAAUAAUUUAUUAAUAAAAGAGUCUCCAAUACCAGUUAGUAUUGGACGUGGAUUAGGCCACUAGAUUAGAGUUUAGAGGUUAAGGGGUCGAACCACGUAAAAAUCUGAUGUGUUUGUUGCUUGCUAAUUAUCUUGUUUAUAUAGCAUUAGAACACUAUCCAUACAUCUACUUACUAUGUACUGUUAAAUCUAAAGUAAUAUAAAUGAGGUUAUGCUUAACAGUUUAAUACAGUCAUCACAUGUUCUACCUGUAUGAUUCUUAGUAACAGUUUAAUACAGACACCAAAGCAGACAUGUCCUACCUGUUUAGAUUACUUUUGUAGCAGAAAAUUUUAAAUUUGUCAUUGUUAAUCAAUUAAAUCCCAUACACCUAUUCAACCCCCUUUCUAGGGGUGUGCACACACGAAAUUUCAUUUGGUACAAGAGAUUGACUAUACUGAUGAUUACCUUUGCAGACCAUAAGGUAAAAUCCUAUGACACACUUUAAUUUUUGAGAAGGGCAGUCCACUAGCAGACCACUCGGCAGUGAGAAUUUUAAUUUCUGAAAAUUCAGAAUGAAGAUAUACCUCAACAGGGAUCCAUGGGAAUGGUGGGUGGUUGACAACGGACCCGUCAUUUCAAAAUUUAUCCAUAUGACUCAAAGCAUAGUCACAAUUUUCAAGACUGGAAACAUAUACAAUCUAAAUAAUUCAUACACAAAUCCACAAUUAAGACAGAAAAUUUUGCAAAUACUUGAAUCAUCCAAGUAAGUAACAAUCAUAUUAGUACCUAAUAACACUAAUCAGUGAUAUUUGAAUUUAAUUGAAAUACUAAUUUGUAGUGCAUAAAGCUUUAAAGUGUUGUGCUUUUUUUAUUUUUAGGAACCUAGUAGCAAUAGUUGAACCUUCUCCAACUGACAUAUGUACAUGGCUACGAUAUAUAAUCAUCUUUAUAUGACUACAAUCAUAUGUAGCUUCUCAAGGCUAACUCCAACAUAAAGUUACCUCAACUUAUUACUAAUUCCUUAUAAAACAAAUACAACUCAAGAAAAAUAAAAGAAGCAAACAUUGUAAUAGUAUAAUAAACAAUCAUUAAAAUUUUAUUAUCCAUAAAAAUAAAUAAAAUUGAGGCUAAAACGACUUAAAAAGCUAAAAAGAAAUUAACAAUUACCUACAUGUCUAAGAAAAAGAGAAAGUAAGAAAAGAAAGAACAGUCAUCUUGUUAUGCACAUCAUCGUCAAUUUCAUAUUAUAUGCUAAUUUAUCCAUUUGUGGCCAUCUAUACUCAUUUUUAAGAAUUACAAAUAAUGCUCAAAACUGCAAUCAUGGAGAAAAUAUAAUUUUAACCUUUCCAUCCUAUUGUUAUAUUUCACCUAAUUUCCCAACCUCUUUCCCAAGUAGAUUAUCAUUUACAUUUAUGUUACAGUUUAUAAAUGAGAAACCUACACCAUCAUUUUUAAGUUCUUAUGAUGAUCUACAAUUGCUCCAAAAAAUUUAUAUCGUAUGCAAAAUGCAUUUUCUUUCAAGAGUAAAAGAUCACCAAGAUUUAUACAUACCUUGUAAUGUGAUCUUGCUCAACCAUAUACAUCUUUACUCCGUAAAAUGUGACUUUAUCACCCGUUAUCCUUGAUGCAAGUAUGAAAUUGUUGCAUUCCGUCUCAUCCGACCACUGCCACUAUAUAAUUCUGCAUAGCAAAACAACAAUCAACAUAUAGUCAUAUACGAUUUAGUUUAUUUAAUGCAAACCAUAAAGUUCAAUAAAAAUUAACAAAAGGUACUCGUUAUCAAAAAAAGAUAGUAAUAAGUUGCAAUACCUGAAUAUUGAUCCCAAACAGUAAUUAGAUAAGACGAUGACAAAAGCUCAUGUAUAGGUUCUGAGAUUAGAGCUUUCCUUGGCUUUAUCUGCUUUAUCUUUCCAAGUGAUAAUAGUUUGAUUUGUUUGAUUUUGAUUUCGAAACUCGGCAAAAUAUCCCCGUAACUUCGGGAGAAGGGAUGCCUCCUCACAAAGGGGGUCGCAUCAAACAAAAUAAAUCAAAGUAAAAUUGUGAUCACCGUAAUUAGAAUACCAAUAAUAUAUCAACCAAUUAAAAUUCAAUUCUCAAACUACAUUAAAACUCAUCACGCAAAAAAUAAUUUUAAGAUAGGAAAAUAGUAACAAAUAGUGACUGUGUUCAACAACUAAAUUUGAGAUAUAAAGUCACGAGUAACUCACUAUGUAUAUGUACAUCGAAAUCAAAUACUAAAAAAUUAUAUUCAAAACUAUAUAUACUAUCUCGUUCCCAUAAUAAGAGUCCUAAUUCAAAAGACAAAAAUUUAAACGUAUUCACUUAAACCACAACUAAGAAGUCGAUAUCAAAACUCACAAAAAGUUGCUCCACCUGCAAUUCUAGCCUUAGGAAAAAAAUAUAAAUUGCCUCACUAAUCUUAUUGUAGGACCAAUGAACAUUAUUUACAAAAUUAUGUUCAUCCCAUAAUAAUGUUAACAUUGUUCUCAUAAACCCAAGUUUAGUCAUUUACAAUACAACAAUACAAUACUUGUUGUUAGAUAGCGCAUUUUCUCAAUGGUCCCCAUCAAAUAAAUUUGUAAUUGUACUAUUACUUAAUAGAGAAUGUUGUGAGACAAUAAUUUUAUUAUUAGAAUCAAUAAAUUGAGCUUUAAGCAUCAUCAUUCAAGAUAACAAUAAAAUGUCAAUGCUCGUAUAAGUCCAAAAAAUUAUUUAUUCAAACCAAUGAAAUCAUCAUUAUACAAAUAGUUUGUGUGAUAUUGGAUCAAUAAAGAAUUGAAAAUUGCUAAUAUGAAAAGCUUCUUUACUGGCAUAAAAGUCUCCUCAAAAUGAUGCACCCUUCCUUGAGCUAAUUUAUCUAAUUGAAGGAUAAAAUGAUUAUGUAUGACCUCUCUUUGUCAUUCCAUCAAGCAGGUAAUGUGCAAGUUUAGUUCAGUGAGAACAAUUGAAUCUAACCAUAAAAUCCAGCACAUUCCCUCCGACCAAAAUUUUUACACAAAACUAACAAUGUUCCAAGAACAUAAAUUGAAACUUACAAUCAUAUUGAAUUCGCAAAAUAGAAUUAAAUAAAGAAAAAAGAAACGCAAAAAAAAAAACCAUAAAUAUGCUAGUAUUUUAGGUUUUCGAUCAUGUGAUAUUUUUUCAUACACUUCAUACACAAUGCCAAAAUCCAAAGAAAAAGGAAAAGAAUGGUGCAUAUAACUAUAGAAUUAAUAAAAUUUUCAAUUCUCAGAUACAUAAUUUGAGCACAAUCCAAACUUACCUCAUUCGAGGUGCUUAACCGAUACCCCAAUUUUGACGAUUGUGACGGCGUCACAGAAGAGAAAUGGAUUGGAUGUAUACAGCUGGGGCUUUGUCUAGUAACAUUAGUACUCGACGAAAGUGUUCAUGUCGAGGAUCCAGUGGAAAGUGUCGAUUUGGGUGUAAGUGAAGAUGUUCAUUAGGAAGCUUCGAUUUGAAAAACUACUCCAAACCAUCUUUUCGAUUUUCAAAAUUUUGUUCUUCAUGCUUUUAAUAUUUUAUAUUCCCUCCGUUCCAUAAUACAUCAGGUUUUAAAGCUGUACACAAAGAUAA
RNAcentral lists this long non-coding RNA (6605 nucleotides) under Panax ginseng (ginseng). Its description in RNAcentral is "long non-coding RNA (PGIN_LNC017586)". The record is from RNAcentral. Lineage: Eukaryota; Viridiplantae; Streptophyta; Magnoliopsida; Apiales; Araliaceae.